UCGGAACUUGGGGGGUUAGUUGGCAUAAAAUGGGGUCUUUUAUGAUAAUAAGGAAAAGAUGGAGGGUUUGGUGUGAAAACACCAAACCCUAUACCUGCUUUUAAUUCUCCCCAAACCACACCAGCCGCCUCCCCCUCACGCCCGCUGCCUCCAUUCUGCCCAGCCGGAGACGACCGGUCCACGGCUGGUGCCGCCGCCCCCACGGUCAGCGGCGACUGAUUUCCAGCCGCCGAUAUCUCCCUCGCGCCCCACGGUCCAGAGGCUGCCAGUCGGUCGACAGCCAUGGCCGCCGCUCUUGCGGCCCACGCCGGUCGGUUCUCGGCCACUGCCGAUCCAGUCGGUGUUGCUCCGAUCUGUUCCGAAUUUCCUCCACUUCGGUCCGCCAUUUUCCCUUUCGCAACCUUGGAAUUGUUUUCCCACCACUCUGGUGGGUUGCCUCUGCCGGCGGCGGUGUGUGGCGGUCGGACCUCAGGCCGCUGAGUAGGGCGGUGGGUGGCGGCGAGUCCGGCUCCGACCCCUCCCGAUGAUGAGGCGUCGAUGUCGGCGCGGUUGGUUGCCGGCUGCAAGAUUUGUAGUCGGGCGGCCUCCCAUCUCACUCUUGAGAAUGCCGACUCAGCUGAGGGAUUUGGGUAAGUUCGAUCCAUUCUGUGGAUUUGUUGAAUUGAUUCAUUUGAAUCUGUGUGGUUUAUGGUUUCUUCGAUCCAUUCUGUGGAUUUGUUGAAUUGGUUCAUUAUGAAGAAUUGGCUAGGAAUGUUUUUGGUUUUUGGAUUAUGAACGAUGAUGAUUCGUUUCUGAGUUCCUAUGGUUGAACCUGCUUUGAUACCAUGUUAGAACAUGGUAUUAUCAUAAUGUAUAGAGAAAAAAAAGAGAAGCAAAUGAUUGUUAUUGUAUUGCUUAAUGUUGUAUUUUUCUGAUUACAAUCAUACAUUUUUAUACUACAAAAGAUGAGAUGAUAGUCAUACAAGGAUCCCUACGAUUAAGGGAUUUUUGUUCAUUUUUGACUGAAGUUGGCUACUGCUUUCUCUGACUUUGUAUGCUGCCUUCUCUGACUUUGUAUUUUCAACAGCUUCUUCCUCAAGGAAUUGAGGUCGCGUCCAGGGCAGAAAUCGAUGGCGUAACCGACGAUUUUAUCGGGAUCACCACUCCAUGAAGCUUCGGCAGCACGGAUGAUCGAAGGAGCUCAGAAAUUCUCUCUCUACCGAGUUCUCCUGCAAUCCUCGCCGCCUUCGACCUUCUUUUCCGAUUUGAAGAUUCUAAGAUCGCUUUGAGCGCGAGCAGCUCCCCUCUCCGUCGCACGAGGAAAACCACGCCGUUGGCGCCGCGGCCAAUGGCUGAUAUACCUGGAGGCUCGACAGCUGUAGAGAAGGCGUAGCAUCGCCGCCGUGCAUGGCGGAGAUGGCUGGAUUUGAGUGAGAGAGAGAGAGAGAGGAGGAAGAGAAGGAGAUUGAUAUAAUAAAGUGACUAGUGUUUGUCAAAGUAUAUAUGCAUGGAUAAGAUACACUGCGUAAUGCGUUACACUUACCUAGCUCAGGGGCAAUUCACUUCCAAAAAUUUAAUUAUUAUUUAUUACUACAAAUUGAAGAAUUGUGAAUUAUUUCAUCCGUCUCACAAAAAUAUGAAUAUUUGUAAGUGACACAAAUUCUAAGAAAUAGUAUUAAAUAAAAUUGUAUUGUAAGUAGAAAAAAAGUUUCACCUUAUGAAAAAUAGAGAUAAAAAGGAAAUGGAUUGUGGUGAGGUAAUUUGUAAAAAUAGGAAUGUUUGUGUUUUUGUGAGUUUGAAGAGUAUUUGUUUUGUUUUGAGAAUUUUGUGGGUAUUGGAUUAAAAAGAUCUAUUAACUAUAGUAUUUUAAUGAAAGUUUUGUGUGAGAUCGUCUCUGAGAGUAGUCCAGACUCGGACCUAAAUCUAUAUAUUUUAUCAGCAUAUUUUUAAGUUCACACAAGUUUUUGCGUCCGAUCAAUGUUCAUGUUUAAUUCUGCAAGUGAUAGUUGUGAUGUAUUUUUAAUAAUAUUUCUAAUUAUCUAAUUUAAAUACUCAUGUAAUUUUUAUAUCUCAUUUAAAGUGUGUGUUUUAUGAUUUUUUUUUAAGUAUGAUAUAUUAUCCUUAAAAAAAGCUACACAUAUUGUUGUCUUAACAUAGUUGAAAUUUUCCCUCAAAAAAAAAAACAUAGUUGAAAUUUGAAGAAAGUAGUUUAUACACAUAAUUAUUAUUAAGUGUGUGCUAUUAUGUGGUGAUUAAAUUCUCAAUGAAGUACCUAAAAAACACUCACUGAAGUACUCCCUCCGUCCCGCGAGUCUUGACAUAUUUGGGUUCGGCACGGGAAUUAAGGAGUUGUAGAUUAGUACUCCCUCCGUUUUUUUUUAAGUGUCCCAUGGAAAAAAAGUACAGAUAUCAAGGAAGUUGGAGUAUUACUUUUAUGCCCAUAUUUAUUAUUUUCAAAGUGUAAUAUAUUUAUUAUCAAAUUUUGAAAUAGGACACUUAAAAAGGGGUAAAAUAGGAACUUUGUCAUUUUUUAUUCUCAAAUUUUGAAAUAGGACACUUAAAAAGAAACAAUAAAUUUAUAUUAAUAGGACACUUAAAAAAAACAGAGGGAGUAUUUUAAGUGUGUAAUUAAUAAAGUAUAAAAUUGAUAAAGUAGGAGAGAGAAGAUAAUAAAAGUGAUAAAGUAGGAGAGAUGAUAUAAUAAAGGUGAUAAAGUAGGAGAGAGAAUGUAAUAAUUAUUGCCAAAAAAGGAAACGUGUCAAGAUUCGUGGGACGGCCCAAAAAGGAAAACGUGUCAAGACUCGCGGGACGGAGGGAGUAUUCAAUUGUUUUCCUCAAAAAAAAAAUAUUCAUCUGUUAGGAUCCAGCCCAUACAUACCCAGGAUUUGGGCCUAAUUUAAACGGCCCAAUACAAAUUGUCGAUUUACCUUUAAAAGGCCCAAUAAAAUAAAUACAAAAUUAUUGUUUUCUCCAAGACUUCAAAAAUGAAAAAGUUAAAAUGUUGAAUAAAAAUACUUAAAACGAGUUUUGUGUUUUUUUUUUUUUUUGUUAAAAUUUGUUGGGAAAAUCUAAUAUUUUCCACCCCUAAAAAACGCCACGAAUCAUGUUAUUGUGGAUAACGUAGAGCCAACUACUUCCCUCUCCAAUAUAUAGCAACUCUUAAUUCUAACCAAAGAAAAAAUAAAACUUUUAAUAACACAAAUAAAAAUACAAAAGAAAAAAAAAAUACAGAAACAAACAGUCAUCAACAAUAUUAUCUGAAUCAAACAAAAUAAACACACACAAUUUUUUUUAAAAAAAAUCUCGAAAAUUCUCUCUAUUUUGUCAGAAGCUUUUCGACGCAGAAAUCCAUGGCGCACACACUCUCGUAGCCAACCCUUUUACUGUUUUCACGUUUGCUUUCUCACAAUGGAGGCUCGUGCACGACGUCGUUUAGCUCUGCUUUCCUCCCACGUGAACCCACUCGCAGAAACCCCGGGCACGGCGUCGUUUAGCUCGUUGAUGGCUUCCGCUUGCGCUAGCGGCGAUGACGGAGAGAAGGAGAUGAAGAAGGGAGGAAAUGAUUGUGUAUUUUGCAGGAUUAUUCUCGGCGAAGCUCCUUCUUUAAAAGUAAAGUUUCGAAUUCAGUGGAAGUGUUUGGAUUUUUUUUGUUGGUGACUAUUUUUUGGGAAUUUAUGCUUCCGUUGUUUGAUUGUUUCUUUUAUUUAUUUAUUUAUUGGCUUUUAUGUGUAGCAUUUAAUUUAUUUUGUUUGAUCAGUUUGGUUAGAAACUAGAAUUAUGGAAUUUGUAUUUGUUUAGGCUUAUGUAAGAAUUUAAUAAGGGGAAAUCCAUUACAAUUGUUGUUUUUAGAGGGAACAUGCCACAUUUUCCAGGAAAAAUGUGAUGGAAUGUGUAGAAAGGAUGUGAGAAUUGAUGUACAAAGUAUUAGCUAUGGAAUUCUUCAAGGUGAUGCUAUGGGUUUGGGGAUUGGGUUCAACAUGGAACUGGAAAAUUCAUCACAGUCGUGGUCUUUGUUGGUAGGGUUCUCGAGUGCAUUCUAGGAUGGACGUCGCGAAGGUACUAGCAUUGGCCAACUAGGAUUGGUUCCGGCCAAGCUAAAGUGUGUUGAGGCGAUUGGGCUGUUUUCUCAAUCUAUCUUUGGGAGUGAGUGAGUUGGAGAGAUCAAUUGACUCGUGUUUUGAGGUAGGUUGUGAGAUCAACAUAUACGGGGAGGUUGUGGUUGUGAAGUUUAGAUGACAGAUGCAUCUUUACGGAACGUAGUGUUGUUGUUUCAAUAAUAUUUAUAGAGGAGCUGUGUAAUCUAGCCAUCAAUUGGAUUUGAGGUUAGACGCUUUCAAGUUGUUUCGAAAGAUGGCAUUUCGCUGCAGAUGAGUAUGAUUUAGAACAAAUAAGGUAGCGAGAUGAGUGGAUUAUAAAAUUGUUUGUUCAGUAUCAAAAUCUGUAUAGUUUUGGUUCUGAAAUGCUGUCUUUUCUAUAGCCCGUUGUGUUUAUUCACAUUCCAUCAACUGAACCACGUCUGUGUGGAUUUGUUUCUCAGAACUUGUAACUGUGAAACUGCUGAAUUUACUCGACUUACAUUUUUAUGAAGUAAAAGAAGUACAACUAGACUUACAUUCUGAUGAUUGCAGUCUGCCUUUCGAAGUCUGAUUAUCUGUAACAUUGCAUUUUGGCUACAGUUAUAUGAAGAUGAUGAGUGCCUGUGCAUUUUGGAUACAUAUCCUCUAUGUCAUGGGUAAGGUAUCAUCUCCUGGAACUCCUCGUAUUUUUCUGGUCUCAUUAUUUUGUAGGCCGGGACUGCGAUUUGUUCGUCUGAAAUUCCCAUUUAAAUGGAAGACUAUUUUACACUUUUUCUAGGCACUCUCUUAUUAUUCCAAAGAGUCAUUAUCCUUCGUUGGACGCAACUCCUCCAUCGGUAAGUUUUCCUAUGUUGUCGUACUAAAAUUUCUCAUUAUCUAGGUUUAAUUUCCACACUUCCUAAUCUACAACACAUUCAAAGUUUUCAUUAUUUCCGGACAAAUAUGGAUAAAUUUUAUUCAUUUUUACCUGCCCCUAUGUGAACCUAUUCUAAUUGUCGAUUAUAAGGCUUAUACACGAGUAUCUAUACAAGAGAUUUAUGACUUAAAUUUUCAAGUGUAAUUGUCAAGCCAUAUUAGUCCUCGAACUAUGGCAUGAUUCCUCUUGCUGUUUCUAUUCUGUGCGAAGCUAAUUCAUCAUUCAUCCUCAAUUUUUAUAGCCUCCUUUCUUGAUCCUUUUCUAAACAGUGAGGAUUUAUACUUCAGUGCGUCUCUACCUCAAUAAAAUAUUCUCUUUUCCAGUUUAAGUGAGUAGCUUUUUGAACCAACAUAUGUUCAUCUUUACAAUGUGAGUAGUCAGAUUUGAUCUCUAUUCUUGCCUAGCUGUGCAAUUCUGUUCUCAACUCAAUAGAUUAUAGGAAACAAGAUGAUUUUAGGAUCUCACUAAGAAUGCACCAAGAGUAAACAUGAAUUUCACACUGUCUCAUGGCAACAAUGCUUAAUUCUGUUUAUUGGCUCACUUCACAGAUUAUAGGGGCCAUGUGUUCAAAAGUGCCUCUAAUUAGCAAUGCUGUCAUGAAAGUUACCGGUUGUGGUACGUUUUCUGCUAUAUCUUUUGCUCUGCUCCUCCCUCUCCAUGUCGUCAUUGUUGUUGUUGUUGGUGUUUUGGUUGUGGUAUGGCGUCUACAUGGGCAUGCACUUUGAUGGCCUUGGACAUACUAUCUGUUUUCUGCUACUCUAUGUCGAACCUACUGUUGAUUUUUCGUAAUAUAUCUGCCACAAUCGGGUAGUUUACCACUUCGACAUAUAAAAGAUUAUGACCAUAUACAAUUUGAUCAAUAAUGGGUGUUCACAGCAUGUCUUUUAGGGAGGUAUUUACUUUCAGUAUUAGAUGAUACUGACAAUACAUAUGAUUGAGUAUUUGAAGGAUUAGGCUCUCAAGAAAGCUCAAAAUUGUUCGAUCCAUCAAAAUAUGUAUUGAUGCCUUCUUUGUCUUGCUUGUGUCGAAUGUGGUCCUACUCGGCUCGUUGAAGUUGAUGCCUCGAACUUAUUUAUGCUUUACAAAAACUAUACGUGGCUGCUACCUCAGAAGAUUUUUUACCCUACAGAUUCAUUCAACUUGCUGGUCAACAACGGUGCAGCUGCCGGCCAAGUUAUAUAUCAUGUAAGCUCUAAUUCCCUUUUUCGAGCACUCAAUCUCAUCCGUUGUCGAAGAAGAUCCUACCCGUUCCUCGCCACAUGAUAUUUAUUAGAUCAGGAUUUACUGAUGCUUUUAGUAAUUUUCUGCUGCAUGCCAAGUUCAGACUCACAUCCACAUAAUACCCCGUAAAGCAAACGACUGCUUGUGGACUUCUGAGGUACUCUCUCUCUUCCUCUCUUUCUCUCUCUUCCUCUCUCUCUCAUAUCUGGUGAGUCAGUUGAUGGUGAAGAUGGCCUCUCUUGCAGUCCCUACGGAGGCGCCCAAUGAAGGUGGACCAAGAAGUCUCGCGGCUAGCAGACCGUAUCCGUGAAAGUUUGAUGUUUGUGAACAGCUACGAAGAUAGCAAAGGUCAAGGAUCGACCCUUGUGGCGAACUAGGUACACGUUCGCCCCCUGUUCUAUAUGUAUGCUAUGUGAAGGCCAGGGGGCUUAGCCCACUGGCCACCGGGUCCUCACUUAAGUGAAGUGACCCGGGUUCGAUCCCUCUUGGGAGCGAAUUGGAGAUUGGAGAUAUAAGGUGGAUUUGGUGAAUGGAGAGAUAAGGUGGUUCUUGGAGUGGAUGGGGAACUAAUUACUAACAUCUNNNNNNNNNNNNNNNNNNNNNNNNNUGAUCAGAGAAAAAAACUUCUAUUGUAGUUCAUCGGUUCGACUUCUCUGUUACAUUUUUUGUUACAUUUUUUUUUUCUCGUCGUUACGUCUCGUUUGGUUUAGAAUCCUUCGAAAUCUUCGUCUCCGACCUUCAUAAUUGAUAUGGUUCUAUUUUUCUUCGUGAUGACUCGAACCCUUCAUAAUCGAUAUGGUUUCUUAUUUUUUCUUCGUGAUGACUCGAACCCUUAACUCAGUGCUCUACUUUUCUUCUUUCUUUCUUUCUAUAACUUUUUACAAUUUUGUUUGAUUUUCUACUUUUCCGUCGAUAAAUUUGUUGAAAUCCCCUAUGAUGGGCCGCCACGUGUUCAUUAAGCAUAUAAUAUACUUUUAUUACUUUUUCUUACUUAAUUACUUUUUUUACACCGACAAAUGUAAACAUGUCACAUAUAUUGUGGCAUAUGGCCAUAAUGGACGCAAAAUUGAAUGAGUUUAAUCCUAAAUGUGACAGAAUUACUAACCUCUAUUAAUCUAGUCACAUCGUUAUAUAAGCAACUUGACAAAACAAAGGAGUUAUAAUCUAUUUUGGAUUUUGACAUAUACUAAUACAAGAUAAUAAUUUAUGAGGCAUUUGCAAAAAUGCCCUUUUUUUAUUAAACUACUUGUAAAAUGCCCUUUUUCACUUAUGAAAAGGGAUAUUUUACUAAGUGUUUAUAAGAAAAGGGCAUUUUUGCCUAUUAACACAUCUUAAAAACGCUGGCUGCAGAGACUUUUAUGAGAUCGGCUCUAUCGGCAAAUUUCUUUGUUCAUGCAUUUAAUCCAAUUUCCUGUUGCAACCUGAAUACAAAUUCAUGCAUGCACAAAACAAAAGCCUUUCAAAAGCAGCCUCCUAAUUCAUAAAUGGCUGCAAAAAGCAGAUGAGGCUUCAAAUUGGGAAAAUUCCUAUUAAAAAAUUAAAAGGGACGUACACGUUUGACUGUACAGCCCUUUCAGGAAAUUCAACGUUUUUUUUUCCUCUUUGAAAUUAGGAAAGUCAACGUUAAUCGACCCAAAAUGAUAAGUAAAUAGAAGGCCCAUGUUUAUUUCAUUUUGCAAAUUAGCCACCACCCACCGACCUUAUACUUUGGAUAACGUUAUAUUUGUAUAAAAUAUCUUAUACUUUAGAAAAUUUAUAUACACACUUGCUAAGGGACACCAAGCUGUGCGACCUUCUGUGUGUGAAUGAUGAGAUCCCGGGUUCAAACCCCAUUGUUCUCCCCUCCCUACCUACCCUCCUAACGUAAAAAAAACGUAAAAAAACUCUUUACGUUAAGUAAGUAGUAGUUACUUACGUUAAAGUUAAACUUAACCCCGUACCCCCGUAACCUUAAACCNUUUCUCUAUCUAAAAAAUAUUUUCUCUCUCUACCUUAUAAGCUCAAUUAUUCAAACACUUUGACAAUUUUUAUAUUCUUAAAAAAUACAUUUUAUAAGCUCUUGAAACAUCUUAUAAAUUCCAAGAGCUUAUAAGCUCUUUAAAAUAAGUUUAGCCAAACGCCCUCUUAGUUGAAAUCCCCUACGAUGGGCCGCCACGUGUUCAUUCAGCAUAUACUAUAGUAAUAAAUACUUUUAUUACUUUUUCUUACUUAAUUACUAAUUUUUUUUGCCGACAAAUGUAAACAUGUCGCAUUAUUGUGGCAUAUGGCCAUAAUGGGCACAAAAUUGAAUGAGCUUAAUCCUAAAUGUGACAGAAUUGCUAACCUCUAUUAAUCUAGUCACAUCGUUACACAAGUAACUUGACCGAAAGAAGGAGUUAUAAUCUAUUUUGGAUUUGAGGUGGUAUUGGAUACGAUCGAGUGUACCGUACAAUUGGGUUGCACUCUCACUUAGACAUUAACCCGUACCCUGAUUUGAAUUUGUAUUCCGAUUCGAACCUUAUAAAUAAUAUUAUUUUAAAUGCAGGUCAACUCGAUUGUACGGUACACUAGAUUGUACCCAAAUUUUUGUGUUUGGAUUUUGACAUAUGCUAAUACAAAAUAAUAAUUUAUCUAGUUUGAGCAUCUAGAAAGUUCCUUCUAUAAUUUGUAAUAUCAAAAUGAAACUCGAUAUCAAGUUUCUAUUAGUUAAUAAAGAAAAUAUGAAUUAUUAUAUUAAAUAAUUACUGAAUAGAAAAAUCAUCAUUACUAAAUAGGUAAAUAACCAUCUAAUGGAGAAAAAAUCGGAGAUAUGAGCAUGUACUAAUCUAGUGGUAGUGAUUAAAUGUUAAGAAUAAAUAUAUUUCAUUUGAAUCCACGGCACGACUUUAAAAAAAAUAUUUAUUCGAAAAAAUUAGUAGAAGAUAUAUUUCCACAUCAAAAUGUAAAGUCCUUAUUUGGUCAACGUCAACUCUGAUAUACUUCAUUCGUGCCAUGAAGCAUGACACACUUCUUUUCGGCACGAGAAUUAAGAAAUUUGUAUUUUGUGUGUUAAGUAUAGUAGGUGAAAAAGUGAAAAUGUGAAUAAAGGGUNGGAAUCUUGGAUUUGUGGGAUUUGAUCUGCUGCCCGAAAAAAUCUUGGUCAUUUUAGUUUGACUUGGUUUCUUCAAUAUUUUCACUUGAGAUGUGAAGACGGCAGCGGGAGGGAGAGAGAGAGAUCAACGAGAACAGAGACAGAGAGAGAAAAAAGAGAAUAAAUCAACAAAACAAUAGUGAUCGCCUAAUUUAAGAUUAGUAAAAGUAAUCUAAUCUAUUAACCAUUACCCUUUUAUUUCAUCCACAUCACUUUUUUCAGUUUUCUUAGUCUCCGUGCCCACACCAAAGUGGGGCACUAAUUUGUGGACGGAGGGAGUAUUAAAUAAUUACUGAAUAGAAAAAUCAUCAUUACUAAAUAGGUAAAUAACCAUCUAAUGGAGAAAAAAUCGAAGAUAUGAGCAUGUACUAAUCUAGUGGUAGUGAUUAAAUGUUAAGAAUAAAUAUAUUUCAUUUGAAUCCACGGCACGACUUAAAAAAAAUAUUUAUUUAAAAAAAAUAGUAGAAGACAUAUUUCCACAUCAAAAUGUAAAGUCCUUAUUUGGUCAACGUCAACUCUGAUAUACUACAUCCGUCUCAUGAAGCAUGACACACUUCUUUUCGGCACGAGAAUUAAGAAAUUGGUAUUUUAUGUGUUAAGUAUGGCAAGUGAAAAAAGUGAAAAUAUAAAUAAGGGGUAAACUUUUUGUCAUUUUUAAAAAUGUGUCAUGCUUCGUGGGGCAGAUCAAAAAAGAAAUUGUAUCAUGCUUCGUGGGACGGAGGGAGUAAUUCCUUAUUUUAUGGGCUGGAAUCCACGGCAUGACUUUAAAAAAAAUAUUUAUUUAAAAAAACUAGUAGUAGAAGAUAUAUUUCCACAUCAAAAUGCAAAGUCCUCAUAUGGUCAACGUCAACCGAUAUAAUUCUUAUUUUUGGGCUUGGACAAAAUGCCUUAUCCAAUAAUGCAAUGCAACUAUUCAUAGCAUUUCUUAUUAACAAUUAUCUUUAAAUCAUCCAAUCAAAUUUAAAAUUCGAGGCAUGUCAUGUCAGCUUCUUAUAUUUAAGGAAUUAUUUAAAUGUGAAUAUGAAUAUUGACCAACCUGAUAGACUAAUUUAACUAAAGUAGAAAAUUAUAGAGCCAAUUUCUUUCUAAUAGUAACUCAAAUAUCGUUCCGAUUCUGGGUCCAAUUAAUGGAAUUUUAUUAAUUCUAGAUUAAUCAGCUCAUUUCGUUUUCGGUUUUGUCGCAAUUGAUUUUGUUGCUAUGUCUUGAAUUUUCUAACGGUAUGCAGGUUUGGGCUUUAGGCCCAAUUUGAGUGUUUUAUCUUAGCACUAUAUAUAUAGUUGAUAUCUGUAAUAUGUAAUCCUAGCCGUCACGUAAAUCUGUGUCUUUUUUAAGUUUCUGUUUGAUUGUGCUCUUUAAUCCUAUUCCGUCACAACAGAUUUUAUCUUGUAAUCAAAAUGUCUCUUAUACGAACAAAAGAAAAAGGAAAAGUGUUUUACAAAACACAACAAUGAUUCUUCACGUGAGACAUAACUCAGAAAUACGAAACGUCAAUAAAUUAUUAGCAAUUUAGCAUGUUCAAGCUUUCUUUGAUCGAGAUAUAAAUUUUGUAAAAUUAUGUUUCGUUAAAUUCGAAUUUGAGAUCAUUAAUCACAUCAUUAAUCACUCACACACACACACAAUUUUUGUGUUUAUUUUAUUCCGCCAUGGCUCCUUGUGAUUUUUGAAAUUAUGCUCCUAGUAAUUUCAUUCUUCCAUAUUUUUUUUUGUCAUUUUAUAAAAAAAGUGGGAGUAAAAGUAAACAAAAGCCCAAAAAAAUUGACGGGAACGGGAAAGUAUAGAUUUGAAUUUAAAUAAAAUAAAUAAACAUUUAUGAAGCAAAAAAAUUUAUUCCUACUAAUUUAUUUUACUACUUCCACACCCAACUCCUCUAUUACCCAGAGAAUUGGCAAUAGCAAAAUCAGGAAAUCUCUCGAUCCACGCAAUUUCCUUCCUCUUCAAUACAGCGCCAAUUCCUUCACAUUUCCUCUCUCCUUCAUUUUCCCAAAUUCCCCUCCGUUUCUUCUUUUUCAAUUUCCCCCAAUUUUCUGAUAGCGCACAUUCACUUGUAGAGAGAGAGAGAGAGAGAGAGAGAGGAGAGGCGGAGAGGAUAGGGAAGAAGAGGAAAAUGUCGCCAACAAUGGUGGCUAAACAAGCCGAGCAACUGAGACAAGACGGUAACACGUACUUUAAGAAAGAUCGGUUGGGUGCCGCAAUUGAUGCUUAUACUGAGGUAGGUUUUGUUGAUUGAUAAGCUGAUUACUCUUUUUGUGUGUGUGUGUGGUAGCUAAAAACAUUGAUUCUUCUUAGGCUAUUGCGUUGUGCCCUAAUGUUCCGGUGUAUUGGACGAAUCGGGCUCUUUGUCAUCGCAAGCGGAAGUAUGUACGAUCACUGAACUCAUUUCUGAGUUCCUUUUUUUCGUUUUGUUUCCACCUUUCCGGUUUCUAUUUGGAGAAGAUUUCGUUUUGUUUCUUUUCUUUAUUCAGUUUUUUUGGUGCAGUGAAUGGGCACGCGUGGAGGAGGAUUGCAGGAGAGCGAUUCAGCUCGAUCACCACUCUGUAAAGGUAUGAUAUUAGGUAAACACUGUGGAACAUUCUUAUUGGUUUCGUCGCCUUUUUUUUCCUUAUUCUUUUCGUUGUUUAUUUGUCAUCGUAUGAUCUGUUUCUGUUGCGUAGCUUGUAAUUUCUAUUGGGGGAUUUAUCUGACAUUUACUAUUUAUGCUAAGGUUUAUGUGAAUCAUUGAAAUUGAAAGAGUGUGUCUGAUUACAGAUGAUUGGAUGUUGAUGGCCAAGUAGCAUUGAAUUUAGUUAUUUGAUAUUCCAACCUGUUUCUGUUGAGUUGAAUGACUGGGAAUGCUAAAGAGAUUCUCUAUGAUAUUAGUCAAUCUCAGCUAUAGUAUUGCUAGAGAUACGUGGAAUAGAAUUCAUUCCCGAUGAAGUGUUGCUGGAACCUUACCAUUUUCUUUUCCUUAAGGCAUUAUGGUUUGUUCCCUUCCGAAUGUUGAUGUUUUCUAGUAGAAAUAGUUUACAUGGUCUUUCACUCUAUAUGCUUGUUUUGAUUGGAGUGUAUUAGUCCAACUUGUAAGUGGUAAAAUUGUUGAGCGAUUCCGUUGUCUUUUAGUUGCCGGCCUAUAGUUGAAUGUAUUAACCCUCAUAACUCAUAAGCUUUAGAUGCUAAAGUGUAUGUACGCAUGCUGUUUUCUUAUUUUGUUAACUUUGUUAUCAUCCAGCAAACAUAAUUGCUCUCAUCUGUCUUUGGAUGUUAUGGAAACCUUUCUUUGUCGUUUUGGAUUAUAGUCGUUGCAAACCUGAAAUGUAAUGAAACGUGAUUGCUUAAAUGAAAUUUGAAGUAUUUCACAGAACUUCUAUAGUGAUGCAACUAUUGAAAAAUUUAAUCUUGAUCUGGAUGUAUUUGACAUUCCUGAGAUGUCAUGUGCAUAUUCAGUACUUCAAGUUACACGUUAUUGAUCAUUUGAUCUAUAUGUUAGGUUGCAAGCUAGAACUUUUAACAAUGAGCUUGCAAGUGCUUCCUUUCACAAUAUUUGUCUUCGUUCAAGCAUGAGUUUUUUUAAAAUGUCUUGGAUGAAUAUCAGCCAUAAGUUGAGAUUUAUUUGCUGCUAAAAAUGUAUAGAUACUAUUCUAUAUUUUUCUAUUAAAAAACUCACUAACUAUAAUUACAACUAACUUUGGAUGCCUUUGCAUUUCAGGCACACUAUAUGCUUGGUCUUGCUCUGCUGCAAAAGAAAGAAUAUGCGAAAGGUGUGAAGGCAUUAGAGAAGGUAUGAGGGCAUUCCUUUCUGAGUUUUCUUUAUUUCAGUUCCCUUAAAUCUGCACAAAUAAGUGAGAACUCUCUUUUCUUGAAGUCCAAGCUGGACAAGGUGACUGGUGUUAGUUUGUUGUUACGUGUUCUCUAAAUUGUGCUAUGGAUUGUGUGGAAAAAUCUGUAUUUGUAUGCUUGCAUGUGUUUCAUGUUCACUAGUAAAUCUUGUUCACAAGUGUUUAGAUAUUACAUCAUCAAGAUAUGUCAAGAUGAAAUGAUGUGACCAAUAUACGCCAUUAUGAUUAUUGUUAUUUGGAUUGUUGGGCUUUUGUUGAAAAUGAUGUUUGGUUGUUCAUGAUGCAUGAUGUAACUCUCAGGCAUUGGACCUUGGCAGGGGUGCGAACCCCCAAGGAUACAUGGUAGAAGAAAUAUGGCAAGAGCUCGCAAAAGCAAAAUACUUGGUUUGGGAGCAUGAGUCUACCGAGCGGUCUUGGGAACUUCGGAACUUAAAGUAAGUUCGAUCUUUGUCUUUCCCCUUUUUUUUUGUUUCCAUUCUUAAAAUUUCUCUAUGUUGUGUUUACUGUAUAUCAUGAUGUCUGUUUCCUAUGAUGACAUUGAUUAGCUUACCACAUGUUGUCUUUAAGUGCAUUUCUUACUGUGCGUAUAUGUUGAGCAGACAAGCUUGUGAAGCAGCCUUGAUAGAGAAACGAAAUCUGAUGCUUCUGAAAAAGAAGGUUUUGUCGAUGAAAUUGACCAGUCUUUUUUAGAUCAAUUGAAAGCCUUGAACCUAGUAUUCAAGAAAGCUGCAGAAGAUGAUACCCCAACGGAGGUGAGCAUUCAGUGUCUUUGUGUGUUCAUAUGAUUACUUUUUUCUUGAUUUUUCAUGACACCAGUUACAUAUUUCAGGUGCCAGACUACCUGUGCUGUAACAUCACUUUGGACAUUUUUCGUGAUCCUGUAAUUACUCCAAGUGGGGUGACAUACGAAAGAGCAGUAAUCCUAGAUCAUCUACAAAAGGUGACUUAUCGCAUCUCUCAGUUCACCUGAUCAUAUUUGCCAUCGUACACAUGAUUUUGACUUCAAAUUUUCCAUGUAUUAGGUGGGAAAAUUUGAUCCCGUUACCCGUGAGACACUACAUCCGUCUCAGUUGGUACCAAAUCUGGCCAUAAAAGAAGCUGUGAGAGCAUACCUGGAGUUGCACGGCUGGGCCUAUCGGAUGGAUUGAAGCUGUUUUGGUUCUUCGAUUUGUUCAUGUAAGUAUUUGUUGCGUCUCUCCAGCAGUACGGGGAUAACAGAUUCGUAAUUCUUACUUUAGUUGAGCACGUUAGAACAACCUAAAGUCUAUCAAUCAUUGUGUCCAUUGCAUAACAUAGAUAUCCAAUUUCAUUAGUGGCAGAUUAGAGGCUUACAUAGUUCAUCAUUUUCGAAUGUAUAGUCACCAGAACCGAACUUGUACAGUGUUUUGUCGCAGACUUUUCCUUGGAGACGAAAAUCUUGUUUUGUUGCCUCCUCGAGCUAUUCCUACUCUCAGAUGUUCUCCUGUUGCGGCUAAAGUUUGAAAUGAAAAUCUUGCAUCUUAUCUUAAAUUAUGCUAUUUUUGGUGUGAAACAUAGUAUGUCUUUUCGAUUUUACUUGUUUCGCCUCUUAUUUAUGGGUGCUCACUAGCUAGCUCGACUUUGAAUUGAAGGCGUUAGUGAGAUUCGAACUUGUGACCUUCGUCGGGAGCUAUUCCCCACUCAGAUGGCAUUUCUGUUAUUUGGCUCUAGUUUGAAGAAAUAUUCCAUCUGAUCUUGAGUUAGGCUAUUAUGUGACUCUACUUUACAAAUAUAUUUUAGUGGCAAUUUUGCUGGUGUUUGUAAUUAUAAAUAUGCCAUUGAUAUUAGUUUUAAGUCGAAUCUUGACAUCCUCAACUUUAGGUGAUUCCAUAAUGUCGAUAUCAAUGAUGAUUCAUUUUUGUUGAUAUGUUAAUAGUGACACAUUAUGUCAAUGAUGCUAUUGUAGGAAGACAAAUAAAGUGUAGCCAUAAGUUUGAAAUUUUGGGCUUUGGUGGAUAGAUAAAGAGAGAAUUUUAAAUUAUUUAACAUGACUUAAAGCUGUCAUGGACAACUUUAUUUUGGCUGCAUUUGAUUGUCAAUUAUAAUUCCACUAUAUUCCAAGAUUUUAUACUAAAUAAAUGUCUUGUAAGUAUAUAAUUUUAAGACUAGUGACUGAAUAGAGAUGUCUAAUGUUAUGAUCAGAUCAAAUUAAUUUGUUUGUUUGAAUUCGGACCAAAAUAUUUGUUCAUACGAUACAUUGAUUUAAUCAUAAAAGUAUUAGUUUAUUUGUUGUUUUCUCACACAUUUUUCAUCCUUUAAAUAUUUAGCAUUUUUCGUGAUACAUUGAUUUAAUCAUAAAAGUACUCCCUCCGUCCCAAUAAAAGUGGCCACUUUUUUUUGGGCACGGAGAUUAAGAAGGGGAUUGUUAUGUUUUAAUUGAGUGUGACCCACCAAAAUUAGUGAGUAAUUUUUAGAAAGUGGCCUACAAUUGUUGACCAAAUUAGUGAGUAAUUUUGACAUUUUUAGAAAGUGGUCUACAAUUGUUGACCAAAUUAGUGAGUAAUUGUUGACUUAAUUAAAGUAAACUUUUGCCAUUUUUAGAAAGUAGCCACUUUUAAUGGGACAUCCAAAAAGGAAAUGUGGCCACUUUUAUUGGGACGGAGGGAGUAUUAGUUUAUUUGUUAUUUUCUCACACAUUUUUCAUCCUUUAAAUAUUUAGCAUUUUUCGUGGAGCAUUUCUCUCUUCUAAUGAAUAGAAAUAAAUGUUAGUAGACUACUGUCUAAAUUUGUUAUAAUACAUAUUCAUUAUCUCCUCCAAAAUUAUUUAUUUUACGUAAAAUAGACGCCACACGUUCAAUCUAUAAAGGCAUUUUUUUUUAUAUUAUGAUAGCUCAAAUUGAGCUGUUUAUGUAUGAAGUAAGCCACGUGAAAAUAUUUCAACGGUAUGUGAUUUGAUUCCUUUAACUCACAGACAAAUCCAAAACAACCUUUUUUCAUGAUUCACAUAAAAUUCACGCAACUACUAAAUUCCCAUGUGCUCAAUUACAAAUCACACAAUCCACAAUAAUAAUAAUAAUAAUAAUAACUUCGUUCUAUUACAAAUGUUUCAUUAUUUUGGGCUCGAGGAUUAAGAAAUGUGAACUUAAUAGAUAAAGUGUGUUAAUAAAAACUAUUUAAAUAUUAGGUAUAGAGAAAGAAUAUGUAGCCAAAAAAUAAAUGAGACAUUUAUAAUGGAACAGAAGAGUAAUAAUUUACCAAAAUUUACGUCUAAUCAUGAUAUUCGAGUUUGAACCUAGAACUAGACCACUCUUUAUUAUACAGAAGAAAGCAAACAAAUUCGGAAAAGGCCCUCAAAGCAAGAUCAUUACUAUUUACCAAGAACUAACUAGUGCUAACACUAAGAUCAAAUCUCUUCCUAGAAGCAUAAUAUAAACAAGAAUUCAAUAUAUAUGUAUGGAAAAGAUAGGUGGUGAAGAAUUUACAGAAAUUUGCUGCAGGCUCAAUCGAUCAAUCACGAGGUGUAGGUGAGAUUCGAACUUCGUCUCAUUCUCUCAAGAAUGCCACUGGCUUUCCUCUUAGCUCUAGAUGUGCCAUCCUCGGCGAGCUGCGAUAUCGUGCGAUGAGUCGCCUCCUCGUCCCUCAUCACCUUCAGCUUGGACCGAUCGCUGCAACAGACGUUGUAGAGAAUGGCCGCGCAGUUCUCCUUGUUGCGCGCGCAAGACGUCUCCCUCAUUAUGCCGAGCAGGCAGGGGACUGCCCCGAGCUCGCCCAUCUCCUCGAUCGCCCUCUGGCUGGUCGAGAGCAUAGCGAGGAUCGACAGCAGCUCGUCCACGUGGAUCCUGCUCUCGAGCUUCUUCAAGAUCACGGGCACCGCCCCGUUCUUAACGGCCCUCGCCUUGUUCUCGAGGAUGAUGCAGAGGUUGAAGAUUGCCGAGGCGACGUCUUUCAUCGUCGACGGAUGCCCCUCGUCCAAUAGGUCAAUGAGGGGCAUCAGCGCGCCGGAUUUCCCGAUCAGGGCCUUGUUUGAGUCGAGGGCCGAUAACGUGAAGAGGGUCGCAGCGCAUUGCUCCUCGUCUCGAUGGUUCCCGACCUCAACGCGUCCAUGAGGAGAGGUAUGACUGUUGGGUCUCCACAACGAGCUUCUUGUUGUUGUCGUGGAUGGAGAGGUUCAAGAGAGUCGUGAUCAGGUCCUCUUGGAGGUCCGGGUGAGGCUCCCCGUCGUGCUUCGUCUGGGAGAGCGGAGACAGCAGCUGAGGUAUUGCAUCGAGGGAUUCGCCAAAGAGGGCGCGGAAGGAAGGGGUUCGCUUUGUCAGGAGACGAAACUCCUUGGCCGCUUCCCUCUGAUCCAACCGGAAGCAGACGACAUUUUCUUGAGCAACGAGAGGAAACGAGCCCGAUCAACCUCUGCCAACGGCUCCUCGUUGGUGUAAUCGACGGAUUCUGGCAACUUGAUGCCGUGCAUUUUGCACCAUUGCACGAUCAUGCCCCGAAUCAAGUGGUUCGGGGUGAGGAUCGUGUGCGAAAGCACCUGCUGCGUUCGAGGGCAGGUUCGGUUCCCUGAUUUCAACCAUUUCUGAAUGAAUGGUCUAUCAAAUGUCUGCAAAUUUUUGCAGGAAGAAAUGUAAACAAUGCCAGCAGAAACAUUAUCAAGUAAAUUUAGACCAAAAUAAUAAGAAUUUCUAGCGCUGCAGUUUAUAAACAGAUAAAAUCAAAAUGAAAUCACUUUUAGCAUUACAUCAAACUUUUUACCAAAUUACAGAACAAUAUCCACAAACACCAUAUGCAGGAGAGAGAGAGAGAGAGACUCAACAAGCAAGAAACCAAAAUAUAGCCUUUUAACAAAUUACAGAACAAUAUCCCCAACAAUCACCAUAUGCAAGAUAGAGAGAGAGAGAGAGGGCAUCAACAAGCAAGAA
RNAcentral lists this long non-coding RNA (17988 nucleotides) under Salvia miltiorrhiza (redroot sage). RNAcentral's name for it is "long non-coding RNA (SMIL_LNC010917)". Lineage: Eukaryota; Viridiplantae; Streptophyta; Magnoliopsida; Lamiales; Lamiaceae. The record is from RNAcentral.